UCCAGAGCACUGCUACACACCAAACAACAAUAGUAAAUAGUUCAUCUCAUAUUUGCUAAGCAACAGAACAAACAUAAUACUGCUCAACCACAUCGACCUAACAUAUCUCCAUAAAGAUAAACCUGCAAGAAAACAAAGUGCACACAAUCAGGAAAAAAUGCAUCAAUAGAAACUGAGAACAAACAAUACAGAAAAUCAAAAACAUUUACCACUAAUGGUGCACAAUCCUAUCAUGUGCACCCUUCUCUCCCUCACUGAAGAAAACACAGCCGCACUUUGGUACACUUGCAUGACAAGUUCCUAUGACUACACUUGUUAUGACCAACUAAGCUGUCUUCGGUCUUUCCUAUAACAUCACUACCCCUACUUUCUAAGAAACAAAUCCAACAAAUGACUAAACCAUCGUAUAUCUUGCUCAUGGCGAGCUUAUACCUCUCAUGCAUAUCAUCAAACAUGUUUACUAGCUAUGAGGGAAUGUUAUGCUUUGUGUUUGGAUCAAAAGAAGGUGAUGCAUAU
RNAcentral lists this long non-coding RNA (516 nucleotides) under Oryza brachyantha (malo sina). Its description in RNAcentral is "long non-coding RNA (OBRA_LNC001871)". Lineage: Eukaryota; Viridiplantae; Streptophyta; Magnoliopsida; Poales; Poaceae. The record is from RNAcentral.